This 73-nucleotide transfer RNA is filed under the name Actinoplanes sp. ATCC 53533. It matches the Rfam family "tRNA". Rfam says of the family: Transfer RNA (tRNA) molecules are approximately 80 nucleotides in length. Their secondary structure includes four short double-helical elements and three loops (D, anti-codon, and T loops). The record is from Rfam by way of RNAcentral. Lineage: Bacteria; Bacillati; Actinomycetota; Actinomycetes; Micromonosporales; Micromonosporaceae.
CGGGUCGUAGCCCAAUCGGUAGGGCACCUGGUUUGGGACCAGGAAGGUUUCGGUUCGAGUCCGGACGAUCCGA